This is a long non-coding RNA of Drosophila simulans, 1036 nucleotides long. RefSeq lists it as uncharacterized. The transcript has 3 exons. NCBI's taxonomy places the organism in Eukaryota, Metazoa, Arthropoda, Insecta, Diptera, Drosophilidae. The record is from RefSeq and is a predicted model, not a curated record.
CAUCUCCAGCCCAGCGUUUUGACCUGAAAAUUCUUUUGGCGUCGACACUUGAUCCUUUGGCAUUCCGGGGCCAAUUUCCGCACGCAUUUCGCCAUUCCGGCUGUUUAACUCAUCACCUACCGUGACACCUGGCGAUGAUUUUCCGGCUGGCACACGUAGCAGCUAUCUAAAUUUCAAUUAGAGUUUAAACCACCCGCACCGGAGGAGCUGAGCUCCCGUGGCGUGUUCCAGAAACCGGGUAACUGCUGCCCCGCCAACCUCACUGGAAAUAACUCAGCUCAUUAGUUGCAUAUUCAUGUGCGGCAGCAUUUUUUGCGAGCUUAAAUCACUGGGUGGCUGCCCGUUGAAGAAGGGGGUACAGGUACUUUUUUGAAAACGGCGCAUCAUAAAUUUGUUGAGAGGGAUUUCGUUCGGGGUAUCUGGGCAGGUUUUCCUCUUGAGUAACGAUACUUAAUAAACCCGCAUCAUUUUCCCAUUUGGUGCUCGCACUUCGCACGAUCCCCUGCCCCAGAACCAUCGAGAUGCCACUUCCACUUCCUGUUCCUUUUGCUGCUCCCAAAUUACCUGUCAUUUCGAAAUUAUGAUACCAAGGAAUCGCUGGUGGCUAUGGAUGUUCUGCCCCCUGGAAAGACAGCUUCCUGAGGAUGCAGGAACAAUUUUUAUGUUUAUGGCAAAAAGCGACGCCUAAUUUUAUUUUCGUUGCCGCGGGGCAGGAUGCCUUCCCGGCACACAUAUCUCAAAUUAAUGCCAAAAACGGGCAGAAUGUAAAACCUUAUGCGCAUUUUCCGAUUGUAAUCUGCCUCACACAUGGUUUUUUACUCAAAGUAACAACAUGACAGCUUGAUGAUAUUCCUCCCCAAAGUGGACAUUUUCAGCAAGGUGCCGGAGUAAACAUGGCAUCCGGAAAAUGGCUAAUAUGAGAUUUACUUUUUGCCAAAAGCUGACAAGGACUUGAGUUGUGUCAUAAACCAAAUGAAAGUCACAAAGGCCACUAGGGAUGAGCUAAAACCUAUGAAAACUGAUUAUGUUGGGCAAU